Molecule: ribosomal RNA, 460 nt
Filed under: uncultured bacterium
Lineage: Bacteria
Description: SSU rRNA
Rfam family: Bacterial small subunit ribosomal RNA
Source: RNAcentral
AGAAUCAACGCUGGCGGCGUGCCUAACACAUGCAAGUCGAACGAGAAAGGGGUAGCAAUACCCUGAGUAAAGUGGCGCACGGGUGAGUAACACGUGACUAACCUACCCUUGAGUGGGGGAUAACUGAGGGAAACCUUAGCUAAUACCGCAUAAUACCCACGGGUCAAAGGAGCAAUUCGCUCGAGGAGGGGGUCGCGGCCGAUUAGUUAGUUGGCGGGGUAAUGGCCCACCAAGACGAUGAUCGGUAUCCGGCCUGAGAGGGCGCACGGACACACUGGAACUGAAACACGGUCCAGACUCCUACGGGAGGCAGCAGUGGGGAAUUUUGCGCAAUGGGGAACCCUGACGCAGCAACGCCGCGUGGAGGAUGAAGUCCUUCGGGACGUAAACUCCUUUCGAUCGGGACGAUUAUGACGGUACCGGAAGAAGAACGCCCGGCUAACUUCGCGCCAGCAGCCGC